UAAGGCCACGGUUUUUUAAUUUGUUGGUUUACGGAUUUUCCCCAUGAAAAAGUCGGGUCGGUCGGUCGGGAAAAAAAAGAAAAAAAAUCAUCUUUGAAGACAGAAAAAUAUGCAAAAUCAAUAUAUAUUUCACCUUUCUAACAAUAUGUUUGUUAUGCCAUUUUAUCAUCAUUUCUUAAAUUUUAGUUCAAUGAAAUAUUAUUGCUCAGCUGUUAUAAACAUCGCAUGACAUUGUCUAAUAAUUUACAGUAAAAAAAAAGGAGGGUGCACGGACAAAGAUGAAAUUAAAUCGUCAUUUCAGAAACAAGAAAAAUAGAUUCGCGUAGCUCUUAAUCAAUUCCAGAAAACUUGGUGAAUAAUGAUCUUCAAGCACGAAAACUGAUAAAGAAAAAAAAUGUAAAAACGUCGUACGAAAAUAAGUUUCAACACACGUGUCAAAAACCUAAUAGACUCGUUCAUUGGAAAAACGAGAUUAUCGGGUCAAUCUGUUGUCUCACAUUCCCGUUUUUUAUCCAAAUGGACGAUAAUUUUUUUAUUAUCUAUGAAACAAGAAAAUUCCAAAUGAUUUGUUAAUAUUCAAUACUUCAACUUGAUGCCUUCAACCUAUCCACAUUUGGACAAGUCUAUUUCUAUGAGAUGAUGCAUCUUACGGACUGAUGACAAAUAAGGGAAACGAACUUAUUGUGUAAUUGGUUUUAAACACAAGUUUCGUUCCGCAAAAUUAUUUGUGCAAACGACAUUUCAAGGUCAGUUAUUAUGAUAAUUGAUUUGUCUAUAUUUAAAAACGUAAACUGGAAGUUUUAUUUUUUCACAACAGCAAGUGUUAUCAAUUUUGUUAGUGAUUAAUGCAUUUCAUUUCAUAAAAAAAAAUUAUUUUAAUUAUUUUUCAGGGAUAAUGCAUUUCUUAGGGUCGGCGGGAAUAAAAAAGCAUGAAACGUCAAUUUUAUUUUUAUUCUGGAAAUCGGCAAAAUUGGGUCGGCGGAUCCGUAAACCAACAAAUUAAAAAAUCCUGGCCUAACUAUCAUUUCCAGUUUUUAAAAUAUGUUAUUCCACAACUUCUUUUGAUCUCUAAAAUAACGGUUAUGAAUAUAAAACACAAAUGACAACACAUCACUUAUAAGGUCAACACUUCAAUCUCAGAACAGUUGAUUCAAUUUAGUGUAUCAUUCUCUGUGUAUGGACCCAAUAUCUCUAUGAACUUUGGGUGUUUUUAAAAAAAGGUAGCCUAAAAAUGUGACAUGGAUAUAAAUUUAUAUGUCAUAACAUGAGUAACCAGUACCUGGCAAAACUUAACUUAUGUAAGAUAUGGGUGUUUCUAAAAAGGAAAUCUUAAUCGAGGGCUUUACAAUGAUAAUGCCUACAACUGUAACGCCCACCUGUAGAUAAUGCCUAUCUUAUAUCUGCAACUGUUUAUUAAUUAUGGGAAUAAAUGUGAUAUAUGGUUUUGCCAUGAAGGUUUAAGUUUAGUAUUUCAUUAGACUUGGGUUUUCAGAUUUAACUGUUUAAUAUGGGAUAAAGUAUGAAAUAAAAUUGAGUUGUUUAUAAUUUAUAGUGGUAAGUUAAAAUGCCUGAAACUCUUCAAUGAUGCUUGUGAUAAAAAGAAAAUCUUGCUCUACACAUGUGUAGAAAUAAAUAACAAAAAACAAACGUAAAAACACACAUCAUAUAAUUACUAUCUCAAAAACUGUCUUGACGACUAUUUUAAUUAUAAUUUUAUUUAAAUAGCAGUGGCAGAUCCAGAACUUUCAUAAGUAGGUGGCCACUGACUCCCGAAGAGGGGUCUGCUCCAGUCAUGCUUCAAUGAUUCCCUAUAAAAUCAACUAAAUAUUUCCGACAAAAGGGUUGUAUGCAGACUUUUGCAUAACCAAAUUAAUCAAAUACGGUAUACACAAAUAUCAUGUUUCCUCAUAUCAAAAAAAAUGUGUACUCUCAUAAAUAGAUCGACUUACAAUGUGGCAUUUUAAAGUACCUUCCAAGGGUUCCAUGUAUGUUUAAUAUUUGAGCCCCAACAAUAACUAUUCACCAUUUGGUUUGUUUUUUAAAGUACUGCAGUUAAACAGAAUCCCUUAUGUGAACAGAGACACUGACAUACCAAAACAAAAGCACUUUUCAUAACCAAUCAACUUUCAUACAAACAAAUAUUGAUUCCAUUAGAUUUGUACAUAGUUGCUUACACAUAAGUAUAUUACUAAAAACUUCUCGUAAUACUACCUCUAGUAGCUGUGUAAAAUUAAAUAAAAUACCCUGAAAUAGUCUACAAAUUGGGAGUUAAAAUCAAUAUUUUUGAAACAGUAAUA
RNAcentral lists this long non-coding RNA (2297 nucleotides) under Mytilus galloprovincialis (Mediterranean mussel). The record is from RNAcentral. Lineage: Eukaryota; Metazoa; Mollusca; Bivalvia; Mytilida; Mytilidae.